UUUUUUUAUUAUUGCGAAUGUAAUUGUUACAAAAUUGUGUACACGGAGCUACUCUGUCCUGCCCAAUUCCCAGACUCCGGCGUGCAUCCCAACCCAAGGGAAGGUAUUUAGCAGCAUCAACUUUGUCAGGACUCUGCUUCCAAAACUGUGAUCUCAAACAGCCAGGCAACCAGCAGCUAACUCACCCAGUUUACCGAGUCAAUGCACACGAAGCCCCAAAGUAUGUGAUUUAAAGAGCUGCAUGUAAACACACAGAGCCCCCGAGAUGUAGAGGGUUGCACGUGGGAAGACAUAGUGACUUCACGCGUGUAUGCGUGCGUGUGUGUGCGCGCGCGCCUGUGUGAGAGAGUGAUAUAAGCUGGGUGGAAAGGAUAGGGGUCAAAUCCCAGACCUUUCUUACAAGUACAUUGCAUACAUUGUCAAAUAUUGCUGCUGACCAAGAUCUGAAGGAGCCGAGAACUUCCCUCCCUCUUGUUCUCGCUCACUGUAUUCCUCUCUCAUAUACAUACACACGCGCGCCUGCACACACACACACACACACACACACACACACACAUACACACACACACUCAUGCAAGCUCAUAUGAUGACAAAUGAAACCGUAUUGACAUGAAUAAGGGAAGAUAUUAGUCACAGAGUUAGAAGCAACAUCACUUUCAUUCCCCGAUCCCUGGCGUGCUGAGAUGGUUCUGCGGCUCGCUCCCGCAUGGGUGUGUGGGGCGUACGGCGCUGCCGCACACGCCGAGGAGGAGCGAAGCGGCGACACCUCACACAGCAUUCGCUCGCAUAUUUUCCUCACACACUCUUCUCUCUUUUUGGUGUUUUCGAAAAAAAAAUAUCCAUCAACUACUUUCCUUUUCCUUGUAUCCACAAAUGUACUCCAAGCACUCACACCUGACUGACUGCACAGCCCAAACAAGCUGCUGUCUCACGCUGUAUUGAAAUAAGAAAAUAAAAUAUAAAGCACAUAAGCUUAUUACAAAUAGCAAGCCAUACAAAAAGGUGUUCCUAUUUAUGCUUUCCCCAAAUGAGGGCUAAAAGUGCCCCUACGUAUUUCCUAAGUUUAACUCGUCAUUGAUACCACGCAGGAGGUGCCUCGCACCUGUACUUUCACUGUCGCCAAAAACAAACCGACGUGGCCGUCCUAACAAGCAUCGUUCAACAGGGUAAAACAACUACAAAGUAACGAAGACCAUUUUACAUAAGAAAAAAAAGGUAACGAUCCCGCAGGUAUCAUUAAUGAUACGUGUCUCAGAGUCAGUUUACCUUUGGCACUUGUGACUCCAUGAAACAUUUCUGUAGCAUAGAAUAUUUGUUAUAUUAAAACACAAACUUUUUUUUGGUUAGAAAUUAUAAGUGGAUACAAAUAUAUUAAUGCCUUCAGUUCUAUGUAUUAAUAAGUAUGACGCAAGACAGUUGUAAGAUUGGACGUAACUGGUCAAAAACGAGAGCAUAUAGCGGAAAAAUCACUUCAGCUGAAAAAACUCUUAAGACAGCAUUUUAUCCACGAAGUAUGAAUAUAACCUAUUUUUUCCCAUAGCGAAGUAAACAACAUGAACAUGACAAGAUCCAUUCCCAACUAUGAUUGGUUGUAAUUAGAAAUUAAGACACCUAAAUUAUCAUUUAGUUAAUUACACCAAAUAAACAAACAUAUCAAGUGCUGAGGUCAGAAAUGUGUCAGGAGAGGUCAACAGAGGUGUGACUCCUCAAUAUACAGGAUCCAGGCAAUUUGGAGAUGCGUGCAAGAAAGAUGUAAGAUGACGGCAUAUCAUUUGUUAACAUGAACUUGAGUUGGUCCUUGUCAUAACGUAUAACUCUCUAUAAAUUUAUACUAUGAGAUGUAGCUCAAUAAAUUUGUAUCGGGGGGAGGACACAAUUUGCUGCGACGCAACACCACUCAUGAGAUUUGUAAAAAUAUCCACUUAAAACGAAAACAAAUACAAGACAAUCGUACCGUUCUUAUUUCUUGAGUUAUUUUAAAAUAAUUAUCCAAUAUGUAUACAUUUGCACUGUGGCCCGCUUACCCGUAAUGGCGCGCGCACCAGUACCACCCUCCCCACGUGGCAUUAAAGAAGGUUCUUAGAUUUAGGCCCCAUGUCGUGGAUGUACCUUCACAUCCGCCCGUCUGCUCUGCUUGAUGCCGAAACAUCACUUGCCUGCAUUAAUUAUAACGGUAAUGAUAACAAUUAUGGGCAUAAAUACUUGACACAAUAUUUUGCUAUAAUACUAAAUUAAUAUAAUUAAUAAUAGCUUACACUUACCAUUUCAGGCGUAGCUCGAGGCCUGUGGUACAGAGAACCACGUGGAACUGGUUCACUUGCGACACAAAUAAAUCCAACCAAAAGAUGUUUCCUAUUUUUCUUGUCACGAUAUACUUAAAGCAUAAUCUUCUGUCACGUAGCAUAUAACAAAAAAAUGCAUCCUUUUUGUUUUGUGGUGUGUUGAGGGAAUUAUAAUAUGGUAAAGAUAUACUGGAACAUUAUAAGGUAUACAGAGGAGGCUGCUGACAUAUUUUUUUAUUUUAAACAUUUUUAUUGUCCCCUUGUACAUAAAAGUUACGAACCCCAAAGGCGUCAUUAGCGAAUUUCAUCGAUAAGAUCCAUCACACUGUGAAUGGGGGGUGAUGUGUACGUCAUAAGGUUACCUGAUGUUCAAACUUUGGACAUUUCAAACACAUUACUUUAUUACAAUAAAAUUGCUGCAGACAUUAUUAAAAUGUCAUUCAUCAAUAAUAAUUACUAAUAUUCUCAUUCCUAAACACCAACGUAACUAGAGCCAAUAACCAUAACUAACUAUAUACAUGAAACUACAGACAAAUUGAUAGUAAAGCAAAAAUGAACAAUGGUCGACACAUGUGGUGUCCGCGUAAAGUUUAUCAUUCUACUUUAUGCCUGGGUGUUUCUCAUCAAACACAUCCUUGAACUUGUUUUACCAUAGCGGGUGUUACUUUUUCCAUUGGCAUUUCGCCGUAUCUGUGAACACCUCUUCUCGGUUAAAGCAACCAUUGUUCGGACGUGGCAGUGGUCACAUUAAUUUAAAACAGUUUCAUGCAAUUAAUCCUCGCAGCAUGUGGAAAAUUCUUCUUUACGGAGUUCAGAAAGUUUGUGUGUAUGUCUUUAGUUUUCAUUCAUUAGGUCAUCCUUCAUGUUUUAGUAUAUCUGCGCUAAUUCUGCGGGUCUCCUUUCAGGUGAACCGACGGGGUUCUCUUCCUCUUGACUUUGAAUUUCAAGUGUUGGCCAAACUUUCAGGCCCCACCAAAUCAUGGCGUGUGUGCUGACUGGGUGUUGGAGAAGAGAUGUUGUGAACCUCAGGAAGGUCUUGUAAAGAAUGAGGAUUUUGGCCUGAGACAAAGACGGGGAGCCUGAAGGAGGAAAAGGUCUCCAUCCUGAUUUUCGCGACCGACGUCCGGCGGAGCUCAGCCCGGCCCUCCUUCCAGUCCAGCGAGCCGGGGAGCAACAUGAGUCAGAGCUGGGGGCCCCCGCUUACACUGUCCCAGCCUCAUGACACUUGUGAAAGCGGUGACCUUGGGGCUGUGAUGUCACUGCCCCGCUCAGCGGCCAGUGUGUCUGCAUCCCAAGGACCUGGGGUCACGGGACCUGCCCACUGUCUUGCCUCCUCACAUUCUUUUUAAAAUCAAAAUAUGAAUGGAACCAGACAUUAUGGAUUUUGUUCAUUCCAGUAUUUUGUUAGCAGCGGACUGAGAAUAAUACUGAUGUGGGGACCAGUGAUAUGGAAAGACUCUCGUUCCAACCUGCAUGCCAAGCAGCCCGGAUAGACGUGGGCGAGGAGACGGAGGAGUGGCCAGGUUGGGAAAAGGCAGACCACCCCCGGUUGGUCUUGGUGUCCGGUCUGGCAUGUCUGCAGAGGAGCAGUAGAUGUGGUGUCAGUUUGUCAUGGCAAAUAUCCCGGCACCAUUGCACAGGUAAUCCAAUAACCUGAAGGUACUGGAAGUCUCGGACUAGGAUGUAGAAGAGCAGGAGAAGGCUGGGAUUCAGGAGAUGGGAAUUACAGAGCUCUGGGAAUGAUGGGAAUUAUGAGGGAGCAGCAGCGAAGACAUGCACAGAACUGGACUAACUAUACAUGUGUCGUCGAGUGCUUACGAGAGCUAAAGGCGGUGGCCAGUCACUGUAUAUCAGGUAGGCACCAUCCCCCAGCUGCCGAGAACCAUUCUCAGUUGGAAAAGAGGCGAAACGCUGCAAUAAGGGAUUCGAACUAGUUCAUUUAUUUAACAUGCUCUGCUAGAAAAUAAAGCAGGAUAUCGUCUGAUCGUUCAGCUUCUUUGAAUAUAUUCCUAGUUAGAUUGUUUACAUUAAAUGGUAAGAUCCCCAGCUCCAGUGACUAAAUAAACAUGCUUCCUCCAUUUUGUUGAUGCCAGAUUAAAAUUCUGAAUAUAGAUUGACAAGAAUGUAUACAUAGCUAUAGCUAUAGAGAAGACUGGUAGAGGAUGAUCGCAUUAAGUAAAAAGUUGAAAAACGCUGGUAGGUGGAGUGGAUCUGAAUUUGCGUGUGUUAAAUCAGGUGAGAGAAGGUCUUUGCUGAUGGGUAGCUGAGGUCCAUAGAGAUGACGGGCACAGUGGCUAUGGAUCCUCUGACUAAGGCUACGCACAAGCGAUUAAAGGGGUUUUAAGAGGCUACAGCUCAGACGUCCGGCACACGUGUGACUCCCAGGACAGGAUAGUUAGCGCUUUCUGGGCGUUUCUGCGUGACUGCCGUCUUGUCUUCACAGAUAGCAGGGAUCCUUGGACAGCCAUGUUCCAUUUCCUCCCUACAGGUCACUUGAGCUAUAGGUAGAAGGUCUGAAUAAAAAGUCUGGUGGAACAUGAUUCCCCAGGUCUCACUCCCUAGAUAAAUAUCACAGCUUAGACGAACACAGGUGGAUUGCAGUUUUUCACCUGUAAAUUUAGACAUCAGGAUUAGACACCGUGAUAGUUGUUUGUUGCCCAAGGAAUGUGACUGGGUUGAUUGCUGGAUUCUAAUCAGAAUAUAAUGGGAAGACUGGAGAUGUGGAAGUUUUAUAGCGGAGCAUUUCAGAACCUCUUUGCAUUGUACCUGACUGGUUGAAGUUGAAGACACUUAGGGUACUGUUUUAGGGUGCCAUGCGUGAUAAGCGUCGGAAUGUGAGUGCCCACGUGUUUACUGCCACCCACUGGGAGGGGCAACGUUACAGGAGGCAACUGGCAGGAAUUUAUUACGAAAUGUAUAGCGUGUCUUCUUGGACAUAUAUGUUGGUGACAUUUCCUCUGUGCUUAGUAUGUGUGCUUUUAAGUAGCUGCUGGUUCUGGGAGGUACGGAACGAUCUGUGCCAACAGAUGGAGGACGAGACACAUGUGUCACAUUCUGAUAAGACCUUUAUGCUAUUUUAUGCAACUUUUAAAAACAUUUAAUGCGCUACUAAAUGAGCAGGCUUUGAUGAAGGGCUGGCUUCCUUGCUGUAAGGAUUAUGUUCCCCUCCCCGUGCUCAUAAAAUUCAGGCACGUAAACCUGACAUCUCAGAAGUUUUAGGAAGAAAAAGUUUUGUGGAUCUUCUCUGUGCUUUUCUGCUCCUUAAAAGGACGUGUGCGUUUUAAUUCAUCAGUAAGAUCGAAGUAGAAAAGUCCCUUUUUAAAAACACUCUCUAUUACAGAAAAGUGUCAUGCAAAGAAU
This is a long non-coding RNA of Brienomyrus brachyistius, 5642 nucleotides long. RefSeq lists it as uncharacterized. The record is from RefSeq and is a predicted model, not a curated record. The transcript has 7 exons. Lineage: Eukaryota; Metazoa; Chordata; Actinopteri; Osteoglossiformes; Mormyridae.